CUUGAAUGGAAAUAGUUCUUUAACAUUUUUCAAUAAUAAAAAUGCAUGUUUGUAUAACAAAGAACAGAAUGGUGUUAACAAGAAAGUAACAGAAUCCAUUCCUACUGUUUCCUUUCCUGACACUCCCUCCCUCAUCUUCAUUUCCAGGUAUUUUCAGGACUGCAGAGAUGAACAUUAGUGAGCCCAAAUGGAAGUGGUGAAGGGAGCAGAGAAGAGGAUGGGCCCGUUUCCCAGAGAAGCAGAAAUGACCAGUAGCUCAGGAGAAGAUGCUGUUUCUUCUGUGACGUGGCUUCACGUGACCAGGAGCUGACAUGCUGGUGUGUUGG
RNAcentral lists this long non-coding RNA (326 nucleotides) under Homo sapiens (human). RNAcentral's name for it is "non-protein coding lnc-ARMCX3-2:1". The record is from RNAcentral. Lineage: Eukaryota; Metazoa; Chordata; Mammalia; Primates; Hominidae.